UGCCAUCUUUCUUUGCCUAGUGGAA
This 25-nucleotide unclassified non-coding RNA is filed under the name Mus musculus (house mouse). Its description in RNAcentral is "oocyte_clustered_small_RNA11444". The record is from RNAcentral. Lineage: Eukaryota; Metazoa; Chordata; Mammalia; Rodentia; Muridae.